Molecule: ribosomal RNA, 611 nt
Filed under: uncultured bacterium
Lineage: Bacteria
Description: bacterial SSU rRNA
Rfam family: Bacterial small subunit ribosomal RNA
Source: RNAcentral
UGCAGUCGACGGAGUCGUUACGAAAUGGAAUGAAGAUUUAUCUGAUUGAAGUUUUGUAACAAUGGCUUUAGUGGCGGACUGGUGAGUAACACGUAAGCAAUCUACCUAUUAGAGGGGAAUAACAAUGAGAAAUCAUUGCUAAUACCGCAUAAGCUUGUAGUACCGCAUGGUACAGCAAGAAAAGGAGCAAUCCGCUAAUAGAUGAGCUUGCGGCUGAUUAGCUAGUUGGUGUGGUAACGGCAUACCAAGGCAACGAUCAGUAGCCGGGCUGAGAGGCUCUUCGGCCACAUUGGGACUGAGAUACGGCCCAGACUCCUACGGGAGGCAGCAGUCGGGAAUUUUGCGCAAUGGAGGAAACUCUGACGCAGUGACGCCGCGUAUAGGAAGAAGGUUUUCGGAUUGUAAACUAUUUUAGUCAGGGAAGAAAAAUGACAGUACCUGAAGAAUAAGCUCCGGCUAACUACGUGCCAGCAGCCGCGGUAAUACGUAGGGAGCAAGCGUUAUCCGGAUUUAUUGGGUGUAAAGGGUGCGUAGACGGGAAGACAAGUUGGUUGUGAAAGCCCUCGGCUCAACUGAGGAACUGCAACCAAAACUAUCAUUCUUGAGUGCGG